UCGAGAAUCAUUCGCAAUGGGCGCAAGCCUGACGGUGCGACGUCGCGUGGAGGAUGAAGGUCUUCGGAUUGUAAACUCCUGUCAUGUGGGAUAAAUGGCCAGGGCAUGAAUAGUGCCUUGGAAUGAUAGUACCACAGGAGGAAGGGACGGCUAACUCUGUGCCAGCAGCCGCGGUAAUUCAGAGGUCCCGAGCGUUGUUCGGAUUUACUGGGCGUAAAGGGAGCGUAGGCGGUUUGGUGUGUCGAAUGUGAAAGCCACAACUCAACUGUGGAAUGGCAUUCGAAACUACUGAGCUAGAGUACUGGAGAGGAGAGCGGAAUUCUUGGUGUAGCGGUGAAAUGCGUAGAUAUCAAGAGGAACACCGGUGGCGAAGGCGGCUCUCUGGACAGAUACUGACGCUGAGGCUCUAAAGUUAGGGGAGCAAACAG
Molecule: ribosomal RNA, 428 nt
Filed under: uncultured bacterium
Lineage: Bacteria
Description: bacterial SSU rRNA
Rfam family: Bacterial small subunit ribosomal RNA
Source: RNAcentral